This 253-nucleotide ribosomal RNA is filed under the name uncultured bacterium. Its description in RNAcentral is "partial 16S ribosomal RNA". It matches the Rfam family "Bacterial small subunit ribosomal RNA", at positions 524 to 776 of the family's 1533-position model. The record is from RNAcentral.
UACAGAGGUGGCAAGCGUUGUUCGGAAUUACUGGGCGUAAAGGGCGCGUAGGCGGUCUUCUAAGUCUUGUGUGAAAUCCCUCGGCUCAACUGAGGAACUGCACGGGAUACUGGAAGACUUGAGUUCGGGAGAGGGAAGCGGAAUUCCGGGUGUAGCGGUGAAAUGCGUAGAUAUCAGGAGGAACACCGGUGGUGUAGACGGCUUUCUGGACCGUAACUGACGCUGAGACACGAAAGCGUGGGUAGCAAACAGG